RNAcentral lists this ribosomal RNA (301 nucleotides) under uncultured bacterium. RNAcentral describes it as "partial 16S ribosomal RNA". It matches the Rfam family "Bacterial small subunit ribosomal RNA", at positions 509 to 809 of the family's 1533-position model. The record is from RNAcentral.
CAGUAGCCGCGGGAAUACGUAGGGUGCAAGCGUUAAUCGGAAUUACUGGGCGUAAAGCGUGCGCAGGCGGUCCGCUAAGACAGAUGUGAAAUCCCCGGGCUUAACCUGGGAACUGCAUUUGUGACUGGCGGGCUAGAGUCUUGUAGAGGGGGGUAGAAUUCCAGGUGUAGCGGUGAAAUGCGUAGAGAUCUGGAGGAAUACCGGUGGCGAAGGCGGCCCCCUGGACAAUAACUGACGCUGAUGCACGAAAGCUAGGGGAGCAAACAGGAUUAGAGACCCGCGUAGUCCCUGUCUCUUAUAA